GAUUCCAUAGAAUAGUGGUUAGCACGUCUGCUUUACAUACAGAAGGACCUGGGUUCGAGCCCCAUUGGAGCCA
This 73-nucleotide transfer RNA is filed under the name Pteropus alecto (black flying fox). It matches the Rfam family "tRNA". Rfam says of the family: Transfer RNA (tRNA) molecules are approximately 80 nucleotides in length. Their secondary structure includes four short double-helical elements and three loops (D, anti-codon, and T loops). The record is from Rfam by way of RNAcentral. Lineage: Eukaryota; Metazoa; Chordata; Mammalia; Chiroptera; Pteropodidae.